Molecule: long non-coding RNA, 155 nt
Organism: Haplochromis burtoni (Burton's mouthbrooder)
Lineage: Eukaryota; Metazoa; Chordata; Actinopteri; Cichliformes; Cichlidae
Exons: 2
Source: RefSeq, a predicted model, not a curated record
UCUGUCAUGACUCACAAAUAUUCCGUGAAUGUACACUGAGCACAAAAUUUGGACAUGGAGAGUUCACUGGCUACUUGCUUGGUGAUAGGGGGUAUCCAUGUUUACCCUAUUUGCUUACCCCUUACCCUGACCCUGAACCGGGCCCACAGCAGCGA